Molecule: non-coding RNA, 24 nt
Filed under: Arabidopsis thaliana (thale cress)
Lineage: Eukaryota; Viridiplantae; Streptophyta; Magnoliopsida; Brassicales; Brassicaceae
Source: RNAcentral
GGGCCGAAUUGGGCAUGGAGGGCA